UCCUUGAUGCCAUUCAAAUCUGCUGCUGCUGAUCUCUUGGUUAAGAUUAUAGUUUUCCAUGGCCUCUAUUAUAUGGUAUGAUAGUUGCCAAGGUGCAUGUUGGCCAUGGAAGAUACACAAGGAGCCAAGUGAAGAUCCCAAAUGUUUGUUCACUUGACUUGGUGGACUCGAGGAAGAACGCUGCUUGCAGAGAGCCUAAAUCAAAAAGGCCAAGAUUGUACAUGAUGAGCUAGUGAGAUUGCUGGGUGGAGGAAAAGUAUUUGGUACUCUCUGAUCUAAAGAGGAAGCAAAAGACAACGAGUCCCUUGAAAAGACCUCUUCGGAUACAGUUACAUAUGCGAGACGAGAGAUAUGGAGCUGGUUGAAAUCGAAGAUAUGGAGUUUGGUAGGUGCAUGUUGGCCAUGAAAGAUACAUUACGGAAGGAGCCAAGUUAAGAGCCAAGAUGUUUGUUCGGUUGAGGAGGCCGCUUGCCCUUGAGCUCAAAGGCCAAGGUUUUUUGGAAGCAAAUUUAUGAUCCGAUCAUCAUCGCUCGCUUCCUCCUCCAACGGAAUGGGAUCAGUACUGUCUCUAUGAUUCUUUGUGAUGCUACUUACUAAGGUUGACGCUAUAGAUGGAAUUGUCCAUGUAUCAUGUAUAUAUACGUCUCUACAAGGUUUUGGAUGAUGCUUUUAUUAUCAAUCAGUGAUGGCUCUCACUGAUCUUCCUCAGGCAUGCUCAUGGAGUUUGGAUGAUGCUUUUAUCAAUCAGUGGUUGUUUUUGACUGAUCGGACCAUAUCAGCAGUUGGUGAAGGUGGAAUUGAAGGAAUGGGAUCAGUGUCUCUUGAUGCUUGGACUUGGUGAUGCUAAGGUUGACGCUUUAGAUUGAAUUGUCUAUGAAGCUAAAGAUGCGCAGGUAAACUGGAUUGGGUCUUCGAAUCACUACACGCUUUUAGAUCCUCUAAAUGGAGAACCUCUCAUUAAAGUUGCUGAAGUUGAUGAAACAGAAACUCAGGUGCGAUCCUAUCAAAACAGUUAUUUGUGUGUGUGUGUGUGUGUGUGUUGUUGUUUCAUAUGUGAAUGCUUGGUUUCUCUAAUGGUCCUCUUUGUUUUCUUUUCUCUCAAGUUGGUGAAAACCCAACAGCGUUCGGCUGGGGAUAUUUUGGAGUUACUCCUGAAACAGCUUUGUCGUAAUGCUGUCAAAGGAUGGAUCACAACAAGCAGCAACAUGGAGUGUCCUCAAGGAUUUUCAAAUUUUCUCAGGAGGACUACCUAGAGAAAGGUAUCACUGGACAUGAUGAUGACUUGCCACAGCGCAAGACCCAUUUUAUAGUUUCUCUGUAGGUUUCUUCGGAUGCUUGCCAUGAUCUCACUUUGCUGGUCGCUGCAGUAGCGUCUUUUGCACUUGGGAUAAAAAAACAGAGUGUAUAUCAAAGAAGGAUUGUAUGAUACAGGAAGCAUUGCAUUUCCAGUGAUUAUUGUCACAGGUUCACUCUGAUAUGGAGGGGGGUUUUAUCUCUCAUAUACUCGGAGCAAACCUAAAGAACGAGGUCCGUAUGGUGAUUGGUGACAAUAUCCAAACUGCUAGGGGUCUUGCUUAGGAGUGUGGAAUAUUAACUUCAGAUACAUAUGCCUCCGGGCUUACUCUUAGAAGACAAAUGCAUGUUGUUGCUGUGACCGGAGAUGGGACAAAUGAUGCCCCUGCAUUACACGAGGCAGAUAUUGGUCGUUCUAUAGGAAUAGGAGGAACAGAAGUGGCUAAGGAGAGUUCGGAUAUCAUCAUCUUGGAUGACAACUUCGCUUCAGUUGUCAAGUGAGCUAUGGAGUUGGGUGAAAUCGAAGACUGUUAGCAAGGGAAGAUACACAAGGAGCCAAGUGAAGAGCCGAGAUGUUUGUUCAGUUGACUGGUGGACUUGAGGAAGCUGCUUGCAGUCCAAAGUCAAACUCAAAAAGGCCAAGAUUUGAUUUUUUUUUUUUUCUCUCUUCCUCUAUUUUUUUUUCCAUUGAGCUCAAAUUAGGAUUCUCUUGGCGGUUUUGCUAACAGGUAAGCCUCCCAAUUGUUAGAAGGUAUUUUUUGUUUCUGUGUCAUCUCCUUAGUGUUGUUGUUUGACCUAGUUUCGUUUUUCACUUCUUGUGUGUUGUUGUUUCAUUUGUGAAUGCAAGGCUUCUAAUGGUCUUCUUUGUUUUUUUCUCUCAGGUUGGUGAAAACUCAAUGUAGACAUCAAUCCAAAUUGUACAUGAUGAGCUACUGAAAUUGAUGGUGGGGGAGAAAGUAUCUGAGCUACCAGCAUUUCAGCUUCUCUCUCUCCACG
Camelina sativa (false flax) is the source of this 2289-nucleotide non-coding RNA. The record is from RefSeq and is a predicted model, not a curated record. NCBI's taxonomy places the organism in Eukaryota, Viridiplantae, Streptophyta, Magnoliopsida, Brassicales, Brassicaceae.